AUUGAACGCUGGCGGCAUGCCUUACACAUGCAAGUCGAACGGCAGCACGGGAGCAAUCCUGGUGGCGAGUGGCGAACGGGUGAGUAAUAUAUCGGAACGUGCCCAGUCGUGGGGGAUGACGUAGCGAAAGCUACGCUAAUACCGCAUACGAUCUAAGGAUGAAAGCGGGGGAUCGAAAGACCUCGCGCGAUUGGAGCGGCCGAUAUCAGAUUAGCUAGUUGGUGAGGUAAAGGCUCACCAAGGCGACGAUCUGUAGCUGGUCUGAGAGGACGACCAGCCACACUGGGACUGAGACACGGCCCAGACUCCUACGGGAGGCAGCAGUGGGGAAUUUUGGACAAUGGGCGCAAGCCUGAUCCAGCAAUGCCGCGUGCAGGAUGAAGGCCUUCGGGUUGUAAACUGCUUUUGUACGGAACGAAACGGCGAGCUCUAAUACAGUUUGCUGAUGACGGUACCGUAAGAAUAAGCACCGGCUAACUACGUGCCAGCCGCCGCCGUAA
This 500-nucleotide ribosomal RNA is filed under the name uncultured bacterium. RNAcentral's name for it is "partial 16S ribosomal RNA". It matches the Rfam family "Bacterial small subunit ribosomal RNA", at positions 30 to 523 of the family's 1533-position model. The record is from RNAcentral.